Molecule: ribosomal RNA, 2929 nt
Filed under: Salmonella enterica subsp. enterica serovar Brancaster
Lineage: Bacteria; Pseudomonadati; Pseudomonadota; Gammaproteobacteria; Enterobacterales; Enterobacteriaceae
Description: 23S ribosomal RNA
Rfam family: Bacterial large subunit ribosomal RNA
Source: RNAcentral
GGGUUGUGAGGUUAAGCGACUAAGCGUACACGGUGGAUGCCCUGGCAGUCAGAGGCGAUGAAGGGCGUGCUAAUCUGCGAUAAGCGCCGGUAAGGUGAUAUGAACCGUUAUAACCGGCGAUACCCGAAUGGGGAAACCCAGUGUGACUCGUCACACUAUCAUUAACUGAAUCCAUAGGUUAAUGAGGCGAACCGGGGGAACUGAAACAUCUAAGUACCCCGAGGAAAAGAAAUCAACCGAGAUUCCCCCAGUAGCGGCGAGCGAACGGGGAGGAGCCCAGAGCCUGAAUCAGCAUGUGUGUUAGUGGAAGCGUCUGGAAAGGCGCGCGAUACAGGGUGACAGCCCCGUACACAAAAGCGCAUGUGCUGUGAGCUCGAUGAGUAGGGCGGGACACGUGGUAUCCUGUCUGAAUAUGGGGGGACCAUCCUCCAAGGCUAAAUACUCCUGACUGACCGAUAGUGAACCAGUACCGUGAGGGAAAGGCGAAAAGAACCCCGGCGAGGGGAGUGAAAAAGAACCUGAAACCGUGUACGUACAAGCAGUGGGAGCACAGGUUUACCUGUGUGACUGCGUACCUUUUGUAUAAUGGGUCAGCGACUUAUAUUCUGUAGCAAGGUUAACCGAAUAGGGGAGCCGGAGGGAAACCGAGUCUUAACCGGGCGUUAAGUUGCAGGGUAUAGACCCGAAACCCGGUGAUCUAGCCAUGGGCAGGUUGAAGGUUGGGUAACACUAACUGGAGGACCGAACCGACUAAUGUUGAAAAAUUAGCGGAUGACCUGUGGCUGGGGGUGAAAGGCCAAUCAAACCGGGAGAUAGCUGGUUCUCCCCGAAAGCUAUUUAGGUAGCGCCUCGUGAAUUCAUCUCCGGGGGUAGAGCACUGUUUCGGCUAGGGGGCCAUCCCGGCUUACCAACCCGAUGCAAACUGCGAAUACCGGAGAAUGUUAUCACGGGAGACACACGGCGGGUGCUAACGUCCGUCGUGAAGAGGGAAACAACCCAGACCGCCAGCUAAGGUCCCAAAGUCAUGGUUAAGUGGGAAACGAUGUGGGAAGGCCCAGACAGCCAGGAUGUUGGCUUAGAAGCAGCCAUCAUUUAAAGAAAGCGUAAUAGCUCACUGGUCGAGUCGGCCUGCGCGGAAGAUGUAACGGGGCUAAACCAUGCACCGAAGCUGCGGCAGCGACGCUGAUGCGUUGUUGGGUAGGGGAGCGUUCUGUAAGCCUGUGAAGGUGGCCUGUGAGGGUUGCUGGAGGUAUCAGAAGUGCGAAUGCUGACAUAAGUAACGAUAAAGCGGGUGAAAAGCCCGCUCGCCGGAAGACCAAGGGUUCCUGUCCAACGUUAAUCGGGGCAGGGUGAGUCGACCCCUAAGGCGAGGCCGAAAGGCGUAGUCGAUGGGAAACGGGUUAAUAUUCCCGUACUUGGUGUUACUGCGAAGGGGGGACGGAGAAGGCUAUGUUGGCCGGGCGACGGUUGUCCCGGUUUAAGCGUGUAGGUGUGUGUUCCAGGUAAAUCCGGUUCACUUUAACACUGAGGCGUGACGACGAGGCACUACGGUGCUGAAGCAACAAAUGCCCUGCUUCCAGGAAAAGCCUCUAAGCAUCAGGUAACAUCAAAUCGUACCCCAAACCGACACAGGUGGUCAGGUAGAGAAUACCAAGGCGCUUGAGAGAACUCGGGUGAAGGAACUAGGCAAAAUGGUGCCGUAACUUCGGGAGAAGGCACGCUGACACGUAGGUGAAGUGAUUUACUCACGGAGCUGAAGUCAGUCGAAGAUACCAGCUGGCUGCAACUGUUUAUUAAAAACACAGCACUGUGCAAACACGAAAGUGGACGUAUACGGUGUGACGCCUGCCCGGUGCCGGAAGGUUAAUUGAUGGGGUCAGCGCAAGCGAAGCUCCUGAUCGAAGCCCCGGUAAACGGCGGCCGUAACUAUAACGGUCCUAAGGUAGCGAAAUUCCUUGUCGGGUAAGUUCCGACCUGCACGAAUGGCGUAAUGAUGGCCAGGCUGUCUCCACCCGAGACUCAGUGAAAUUGAACUCGCUGUGAAGAUGCAGUGUACCCGCGGCAAGACGGAAAGACCCCGUGAACCUUUACUAUAGCUUGACACUGAACAUUGAGCCUUGAUGUGUAGGAUAGGUGGGAGGCUUUGAAGUGUGGACGCCAGUCUGCAUGGAGCCGACCUUGAAAUACCACCCUUUAAUGUUUGAUGUUCUAACGUGGACCCGUAAUCCGGGUUGCGGACAGUGUCUGGUGGGUAGUUUGACUGGGGCGGUCUCCUCCUAAAGAGUAACGGAGGAGCACGAAGGUUGGCUAAUCCUGGUCGGACAUCAGGAGGUUAGUGCAAUGGCAUAAGCCAGCUUGACUGCGAGCGUGACGGCGCGAGCAGGUGCGAAAGCAGGUCAUAGUGAUCCGGUGGUUCUGAAUGGAAGGGCCAUCGCUCAACGGAUAAAAGGUACUCCGGGGAUAACAGGCUGAUACCGCCCAAGAGUUCAUAUCGACGGCGGUGUUUGGCACCUCGAUGUCGGCUCAUCACAUCCUGGGGCUGAAGUAGGUCCCAAGGGUAUGGCUGUUCGCCAUUUAAAGUGGUACGCGAGCUGGGUUUAGAACGUCGUGAGACAGUUCGGUCCCUAUCUGCCGUGGGCGCUGGAGAACUGAGGGGGGCUGCUCCUAGUACGAGAGGACCGGAGUGGACGCAUCACUGGUGUUCGGGUUGUCAUGCCAAUGGCACUGCCCGGUAGCUAAAUGCGGAAGAGAUAAGUGCUGAAAGCAUCUAAGCACGAAACUUGCCCCGAGAUGAGUUCUCCCUGAGACUUAGAGUCUCCUGAAGGAACGUUGAAGACGACGACGUUGAUAGGCCGGGUGUGUAAGCGCAGCGAUGCGUUGAGCUAACCGGUACUAAUGAACCGUGAGGCUUAACCUUACAACGCCGAAG